This 457-nucleotide ribosomal RNA is filed under the name uncultured bacterium. RNAcentral's name for it is "bacterial SSU rRNA". It matches the Rfam family "Bacterial small subunit ribosomal RNA", at positions 29 to 523 of the family's 1533-position model. The record is from RNAcentral.
AGCGAACGCUAGCGGCGGGCCUAACACAUGCAAGUCGAGCGCAUACCUUCGGGUAUGAGCGGCGGACGGGUGAGUAACGCGUAGGUCAUCUACCCUUUGGUGGGGGAUAACCCAGGGAAACUUGGGCUAAUACCGCACGAGGUCUACGGAUCAAAGCCUUCGGGCGCCAGAGGAUGAGCCUGCGUCGCAUUACCUAGUUGGCGGGGUAACGGCCCACCAAGGGGACGAUGCGUAGCUGGUCUGAGAGGAUGAUCAGCCACACUGGGACUGAGACACGGCCCAGACUCCUACGGGAGGCAGCAGUGGGGAAUAUUGCGCAAUGGGGGAAACCCUGACGCAGCCACGCCGCGUGGGUGAUGAAGGCCUUCGGGUUGUAAAGCCCUGUCGGGAGGGACGAAUUCUUGACGGUACCUCCAAAGAAAGACACCGGCUAACUCCGUGCCAGCAGCCGCGGUAA